CAGGAAUUAACAGCUCUAAUAUAUAUGCAUUAUUAGGGAAACAGGACUGUGGAGUAAAGGGGCAAACAGCUAUGCUAUGUUAUACAGAUCCAGGAUGAAUAAUGAAAGUACAAAAUUUACAUAAGCAAACAGAGGUCUGGGAGAAAAUAAACUGACACAGAGCAAAGCAAAAGAUUUGAGCACCUUUUAUGAUAGUGGGGCUUAUACGGCCCAAGUGAAUAGGAUUUGAGAUUGAAAUUUAUGGGAAGAUGCAAGGUCUAAAUUUUGGGGAUUUUUUGUUCAACUGUACUAUGUUCCUGUAUUUCUGCUUUCCAGGAAGAAGUCAUAGAGGUGUCUUUGAUACAACACCAGGCAUGAAGCUGCAUACUUACCAGAGCUAUUAUCUGGAUGCUUCAAAGGAGCAGAGCCCAAUGGAAAGAAGAUGGCAACAAACAUGAAAGGAUAAAGCACUUGACUGGGUCUAGAAAUAGAGUGGAUUUUUUUCUGCCUUUCACACAGGUUGAAGAGACACUAUGCCUUUUUGUUGUAAAAACCACUGAAAAACACCUGCUUUUAACUAUGUGACAUAACCCUGCUUUCCAAUAAAUGCUUUAUUUCCAGCAGCAGCAGAAAGAACAGAAUCUCCUUUACUAGCCUGUUAACUACAGAUCAGAAAAUGAGGCAGAAGACCACAUCCUAAUUCCUGACCGCCCACAGGUCAGCAACAGUGUGCCAGUGAACACACAGGUCAGUGCAUUUUGGCACAGCUGCACCCUAGUGUCAGUGGGCUGCUUCUUCCCUCCAUCCCCACCUUAUCACCUGAUUGCAGGAUAGACAGUAUAAAGCACCCCAUGGUUUUCCCUGUGGCUUGCAGGCAGUGCUGUGGGUUGGUCUGUGUGCUUGCAGGACACAGGAGCAGAUGGGAAGAUGCAACAGGAGCAGAUCCCCUUUGCCUAAAGGAUCAAAGGCAGGCUAAGCUCUAUGUCAUUUGGUCCUGCAGCCUCCUCCUUGUUGAAAGGCUGAAGCAGAAGUUGGCUACAGACUGCCUGAAUUCCAUCCCCAGGAUGAUAUUACCCUUCUUCUCCCAUGCUGAGAAUGAAGCAGGACCGGGAAUAUGAAGAACAGCCCUUUUCUAUCUGUGUAAAGGAAAUUUUUCUGCAUCUUUAGCAGGUAGCUGGGAUAGUUACAGGGUAAAAAUGACAAAUUACAAGCAUAGUACAGGGAGACUAGUCUUAACAAGAAAUUGCAGAGAUUACCUAUAAUUUUUACUGAGCAAAAGCCAUGCUAUUUUAUCACUUUCUGGUAAACUAGCUCGGUUUCUUUUGAGAAGAGGGAGAUUUAGAUGAAACGGUAUUUGGGUGGAGAUGCAUUUAAUAACAUUUUAUGGCAUACUAUUUUUUACAACAAGCAUAAGGCUUGUCAUUUUUACUUGUCUGCCAUAAGAAAAAUGACAGUCUGUUUGAACACUCUAAGACUAUAGUUAAGGCAAAGCAUUUUUACCUCUGUCUGAAUUUUCAAAGCAGGACUGAGGUGAGGGAAGCAGAUAACUAGAGGUGAGCUUACAAUGUACCUACCAUUUGAGCACUUGAAAAGUCAUGUCUGAAAUUAGAGUGUAAAAUCUCACCCAUUCCUUCAUCUAUUCCACUCUCACCUCACUUAGAGUGCUGUGUCCAGCUCGGGGGUUCCCAGCACAAGAAGGAUGUGGACAUGCUGGAGCAGGUCCACAGGAAGGCCACAAAGAUGAUCAGAGGGCUGGAGCACUUCUCUUAUAAAGACAGGCUGAGAGAGCUGGGGUUGCUUACCACGGAGAAUACUUGGGAUACCUUAGAGCAGCCUUCCAAUACCUAAAGGGCAGGGGGAGUGGGACUUUCACAAGUAGUGAUAGGACAAGGGGCAAUGUCUUCAAACCAAAAGAGGGCAGAUUUAGACAAGGUGUUAGGAAGAAAUGUGAAGGUAGUGAGGCAAUGCAACAGGUUGCCCAGAGAAAUCGUGGAUAGCCCAGCCUAGUUCAGAUUGGAUGGGGCUUUGAACAGCCUGGUCUGGUGGAAAAUGUCCUUACGAAUGGCAAGAUGUUUGGAACUAAACGAUUUUUAAGAUCUCUUCCAACCCAAACCAUUCCAGUCCUUGUGCUGACAGACUAAUUCCUUUGUUCCCUCAUGUAGAUCAUCUUCACCCUGCUGUACUCUGAGUCAGUCAGUCCAAUAAGAAGUGGUCCCAGUUCAGGGCUAUGAAUCCCUCUGAGAUGAGUGUCAAUACUUUCUGGACUGAAAAGUGGAUGGAGCACAUUUGCUCUCUCUUGGUGUCUGUACAUGCACUCCAGACCCUGCUGAUAAAUCUGUGUACAAGGGUGUCCUGAUUCUGGCUGGGACAGGGUUAAUUUUUGCAGUAGCCAGGAGGUGUCAUGGCUCAGACCCAGAGGAUAUUCUACAGCACCUCACAUCUCUCCUCUGGUCAGGGUGGCUGAGGAUGGGUGGUUUGGUCUUGGACUCCGUGGUGAGUAUUUUGCAUGUGAAUCAGUCUCUCUUUUGUACACUUUUGUUAUUAACACUGUUGCUGUUACA
Long non-coding RNA from Parus major (Great Tit), 2540 nucleotides. RefSeq lists it as uncharacterized. The transcript is spliced from 3 exons. The record is from RefSeq and is a predicted model, not a curated record. Lineage: Eukaryota; Metazoa; Chordata; Aves; Passeriformes; Paridae.